RNAcentral lists this ribosomal RNA (428 nucleotides) under uncultured bacterium. RNAcentral's name for it is "bacterial SSU rRNA". It matches the Rfam family "Bacterial small subunit ribosomal RNA", at positions 29 to 451 of the family's 1533-position model. The record is from RNAcentral.
AACGAACGCUGGCGGCGCGUUUUAAGCAUGCAAGUCGAACGAGAAGAUGGUGCUUGCACUAUCGGACAGUGGCGAACGGGUGAGUAACACGUAGAUGAUCUGCCUAUUGGUUGGGGAUAGCAUAGGGAAACCUAUAGUAAUACCGAAUAAGCUCUUACGGCUUUGGCUGUUUGAGGAAAGGGGCUUCGGCCUCGCCGAUAGAUGAGUUUGCGUCUGAUUAGCUUGUUGGUGGGGUAAAGGCCUACCAAGGCGACGAUCAGUAGCCGGCCUGAGAGGGUGACCGGCCACAUUGGGACUGAGAUACGGCCCAAACUCCUACGGGAGGCAGCAGCUAAGAAUCUUCCGCAAUGGGCGAAAGCCUGACGGAGCGACGCCGCGUGGACGAAGAAGGCCGAGAGGUUGUCAAGUCCUUUUAUGAGAGAAGAAUA